AACGAACGCUGGCGGCGCGCUUAACACAUGCAAGUCGAACGAGAAGGCGUAGCAAUACGCUUGUACAGUGGCGAACGGGUGAGGAAUACAUGGGUAACCUACCCUCGAGUGGGGAUAACCCGCCGAAAGGCGGGCUAAUACCGCGUACGCUUCCGAUCUUGCGGGAUUGGAAGGAAAGCUGUCCCUUGGGGAUGGCGCUCAAGGAUGGGCUCAUGUCCUAUCAGCUUGUUGGAGGGUAACGGCCUCCCAAGGCAUCGACGGGUAGCUGGUCUGAGAGGACGAUCAGCCACACUGGCACUGCGACACGGGCCAGACUCCUACGGGAGGCAGCAGUGAGGAAUAUUGCGCAAUGGGCGAAAGCCUGACGCAGCGACGCCGCGUUGGGGAUGAAGGUCUUCGGAUUGUAAACCCCUUUCGGGAGGGAAGACGGCCUUAGACAACUAAGGCGGACGGUACCUCCAGAAGCAGCCACGGCUAACUUCGUGCCAGCAGCCG
This 495-nucleotide ribosomal RNA is filed under the name uncultured bacterium. RNAcentral's name for it is "bacterial SSU rRNA". It matches the Rfam family "Bacterial small subunit ribosomal RNA", at positions 29 to 517 of the family's 1533-position model. The record is from RNAcentral.